Molecule: long non-coding RNA, 438 nt
Organism: Leptidea sinapis
Lineage: Eukaryota; Metazoa; Arthropoda; Insecta; Lepidoptera; Pieridae
Exons: 2
Source: RefSeq, a predicted model, not a curated record
CUUGUGAUUCCUCUGGUGUUGCAAGAGAAUGUGGGCGGCGGUGAUCACUUAACACCAGGUGACCCGUACGCUCGUUUGUCCUCCUAUUCCAUAAAAAAAACUGAUUAUAAGUAAAAUUAAAUAGACUAUCUAAUUUCCAUUCCAACUUUUUGUUUAGAAAACGAUUCCUAGUAAUGACGUCUUGUCGUGGUUGUGAAUUUAGGCCUAUCAUAACGCAGGUACAAUAGUUUUUGUGUUUAUAUAAUACUAGCUAUCCCGGCAAACAUUGUUUUGCCAUAUAAAUUAUUUUUAGAGUUAGUCCGUUCCUUGGACAUGCAGCAUUACUUUAUUUUUCUAAAAUAAACGUAGCUUAAGUUACUCCUUAUAACAUCAACUACUAAAAUCGGUCCAGCGAGGUUUCAGAGAUUAGCCGAAACAAACAGACAGACUAAAUAUAUA